RNAcentral lists this ribosomal RNA (444 nucleotides) under uncultured bacterium. RNAcentral describes it as "bacterial SSU rRNA". It matches the Rfam family "Bacterial small subunit ribosomal RNA", at positions 354 to 796 of the family's 1533-position model. The record is from RNAcentral.
GUGAGGAAUAUUGCGCAAUGGAGGCAACUCUGACGCAGCCAUGCCGCGUGCAGGAAGAAGGCGCUACGCGUUGUAAACUGCUUUUAACCGGGAAGAAACCCCAGGACGUGUCCUGGGUUGACGGUACCGGAGGAAUAAGCACCGGCUAACUUCGUGCCAGCAGCCGCGGUAAUACGAAGGGUGCAAGCGUUAUCCGGAUUCAUUGGGUUUAAAGGGUGCGUAGGCGGAGCGUUAAGUCAGUGGUGAAAUCCUGCAGCUUAACUGUAGACUUGCCAUUGAUACUGGCGCUCUUGAGUGCGCUUGAAGUGGGCGGAAUGUGCCGUGUAGCGGUGAAAUGCUUAGAUAUGGCACAGAACACCAAUUGCGAAGGCAGCUCACUAAGGCGAUACUGACGCUGAGGCACGAAAGCGUGGGGAUCGAACAGGAUUAGAAACCGUGUAGUCC